CCUACGGGAGGCAGCAGUGGGGAAUAUUGCACAAUGGGCGAAACCCUGAUGCAGCGACGCCGCGUGAGUGAAGAAGUAUUUCGGUACGUAAGGCUCUAUCAGCAGGAAGGAAAAUGACGGUACCUGCCUAAGAAGCACCGGCUAACUACGUGCCAGCAGCCGCGGUAAUACGUAGGGAGCAAGCGUUAUCCGGAUUUACUGGGGGUAAAGGGUUCGUAGACGGCAUCGCCAGUCUGGAGUUAAAUGCCGGGGCUCAACCCCGGAACUGCUCUGGAAACUUGGAAGCUGGAGUGCAGAAGAGGUAAGCGGAAUUCCUGGUGUAGCGGUGAAAUGCGUAGAUAUCAGGAGGAACACCGGCGGCGAAGGCGGCUUACUGGACUGUAACUGACGUUGAGGCUCGAAGGCGUGGGGAGCAAACAGGAUUAGAUACCCUAGUAGUC
This 440-nucleotide ribosomal RNA is filed under the name uncultured bacterium. RNAcentral's name for it is "partial 16S ribosomal RNA". It matches the Rfam family "Bacterial small subunit ribosomal RNA", at positions 338 to 795 of the family's 1533-position model. The record is from RNAcentral.